UGGGAAUUGUAGUUUCGGUGCCGCGUGCUGCAGCGCCGUGGCGCUCGGUGGGAACUCGGUGUCCCAGCGCGCCCCGGGCAGGUGCUGUCGCGGCGGCCGUGAGGAGAGCGUCAGGCGGGAAAGGCGGGCAGCGCUGUGAGCGGGCGCCGGGCCUGCGCAGCUUCAGGCUGCAGGAGGACGAGGCCAGGAUGGGAGAGGCUGAUGGAGAACGUGCCAGCCAGAGAGACACGGGCCUGUCUGCGCUGUGCCGUGCCCACAUUGCUGUGACGAACGUGCAUUAAAGUUGCCAGACAUUUGGAAAACCAUACAUACAGCUGUUCCUGGGCCUACAUCAAGGACCUC
Molecule: long non-coding RNA, 342 nt
Filed under: Chrysolophus pictus (golden pheasant)
Lineage: Eukaryota; Metazoa; Chordata; Aves; Galliformes; Phasianidae
Description: lncRNA (ENSCPIG00010011821.1)
Source: RNAcentral